Molecule: ribosomal RNA, 499 nt
Filed under: uncultured bacterium
Lineage: Bacteria
Description: partial 16S ribosomal RNA
Rfam family: Bacterial small subunit ribosomal RNA
Source: RNAcentral
GACGAACGCUGGCGGCGUGCCUAAUACAUGCAAGUCGAGCGAAGUUUUUCUGGUGCUUGCACUAGAAAAACUUAGCGGCGAACGGGUGAGUAACACGUAAAGAACCUGCCUCAUAGACUGGGACAACUAUUGGAAACGAUAGCUAAUACCGGAUAACAGUAUUUCUCGCAUGAGAGAUAUUUAAAAGUUGGUUAUGCUAACACUAUGAGAUGGCUUUGCGGUGCAUUAGCUAGUUGGUGGGGUAAAGGCCCACCAAGGCGACGAUGCAUAGCCGACCUGAGAGGGUGAUCGGCCACACUGGGACUGAGACACGGCCCAGACUCCUACGGGAGGCAGCAGUAGGGAAUCCUCCGCAAUGGGCGAAAGCCUGACGGAGCAACGCCGCGUGAGUGAAGAAGGAUUUCGGUUCGUAAAGCUCUGUUGUUAGGGAAGAAUGGAUAUGUAGUAACUAUACAUGUAAGAGACGGUACCUAACCAGAAAGCCACGGCUAACUACGUG